Molecule: non-coding RNA, 98 nt
Organism: Bisporella sp. PMI_857
Lineage: Eukaryota; Fungi; Ascomycota; Leotiomycetes; Helotiales; Helotiaceae
Source: the annotation of a GenBank genome assembly
GUCGGGUUGGUGUAAUGGUAGCACGUGGGCUUGUGGACGUUGCUUUGCAGUAAUCUGACAGGUCGCCUUCAAUCUGGGUUCGAUUCCCAGACCCGACA